This 252-nucleotide ribosomal RNA is filed under the name uncultured bacterium. RNAcentral describes it as "partial 16S ribosomal RNA". It matches the Rfam family "Bacterial small subunit ribosomal RNA", at positions 524 to 776 of the family's 1533-position model. The record is from RNAcentral.
UACGUAGGGGGCAAGCGUUGUCCGGAUUUAUUGGGCGUAAAGAGCGUGUAGGCGGCUUGGUAGGUCUCGCGUCAAAACCUGAGGCUCAACCUCAGUUCGCGUGGGAAACCACCUAGCUAGAGUCCGGAAGAGGAGAACGGAAUUCCCAGUGUAGCGGUGAAAUGCGCAGAUAUUGGGAAGAACACCUGUGGCGAAGGCGGUUCUCUGGGACGGUACUGACGCUGAGACGCGAAAGCGUGGGGAGCGAACAGG